RNAcentral lists this long non-coding RNA (589 nucleotides) under Gadus morhua (Atlantic cod). RNAcentral describes it as "lncRNA (ENSGMOG00000024558.1)". The record is from RNAcentral. Lineage: Eukaryota; Metazoa; Chordata; Actinopteri; Gadiformes; Gadidae.
CUUGAUAUUGGUCGUCUCUUUCCAGGACACAGACAGUGAUGCGGAUACCAUCAUUCUGGAAUUGCCCGUUCCUUCUGCACCCUCAGGAGCCCAAGAUGUUCCAGAGCUAGAGAGGACUGAGUGUGUAUUUCUAACCAGAAAAUCAUUACGGAUCAGUUCAUCUUCAGAUGACAGCUUUGCAGCAGAAUCUAGCAGCAUUGAAAACAGUGACGACGAUUUUGUGCCAGAUUCACAAGAAUCUGACUGUUCUGAGGAAUCUCAAGAGGCGAAAAGCUCAUCUCCCAAUGUGACCCUAGACAGCAGCGAUGAUAAUACAUCUUCAAUGAUUGCAACCCAACAGUCUUCCUCUCUUGAAAGUAAGGAGACAUCAACUCAGCCAGUAAAUGAUGAAAGUAGUGAUGUUUCAGUAAUGAAGUUGAAGAAGUCUGCAUAUGGCCAAAGGGUGUACAACAAAAAGCAGUAUUGCUUUUCCUGCCAGAAACCAUUCAGCAAAAUGGCAAGGCACUUGGCCCAAGUGCAUAAGAAUGAGAUUGAGGGGGCAAGAGCACUUUCUUUUCCAAAGGGGUCUAAAGAACGAAAGUUUAAUCUA